AUCUACCUCUUAGUGGGGAAUAACCCUGGGAAACCGGGGCUAAUACCGCAUAAGUCCUUAGGGAGAAAGCAGCAAUGCGCUGGGAGAGGAGUCCGCGGCCGAUUAGCUAGUUGGCAGGGUAAAAGCCUACCAAGGCAACGAUCGGUAGCCGGCCUGAGAGGGCACACGGCCACACUGGCACUGAAACACGGGCCAGACUCCUACGGGAGGCAGCAGUGGGGAAUCUUGCGCAAUGGGGGAAACCCUGAUGCAGCGACGCCGCGUGAGCGAUGAAGCCCUUCGGGGUGUAAAGCUCUUUCGGCAGGGAAGAUAAUGACGGUACCUGCAGAAGCAGCUGCGGCUAACUACGUGCCAGCAGCCGCGGUAAUACGUAGGCAGCAAGCGUUGUUCGGAGUUACUGGGCGUAAAGGGUGUGUAGGCGGUUGUUUAAGUUUGGUGUGAAAUCUCCCGGCUCAACUAGGAGGGUGCGCCGAAUACUGAAUGACUCGAGUGCGGGAGAGGAAAGUGGAAUUCCUGGUGUAGCGGUGAAAUGCGUAGAUAUCAGGAGGAACACCGGUGGUGUAGACGGCUUUCUGGACCGUAACUGACGCUGAGACACG
RNAcentral lists this ribosomal RNA (599 nucleotides) under uncultured bacterium. Its description in RNAcentral is "bacterial SSU rRNA". It matches the Rfam family "Bacterial small subunit ribosomal RNA", at positions 124 to 755 of the family's 1533-position model. The record is from RNAcentral.